RNAcentral lists this ribosomal RNA (664 nucleotides) under Salinivibrio sp. IB870. RNAcentral describes it as "bacterial LSU rRNA". It matches the Rfam family "Bacterial large subunit ribosomal RNA", at positions 1 to 599 of the family's 2925-position model. The record is from RNAcentral. Lineage: Bacteria; Pseudomonadati; Pseudomonadota; Gammaproteobacteria; Vibrionales; Vibrionaceae.
GUUGUAUGGUUAAGUGAUUAAGCGUAGACGGUGGAUGCCUUGGCAGUCAGAGGCGAUGAAGGACGUACUAACCUGCGAAAAGCGAUGGUGAGCUGGUAAGAAGCAUUUGAGCCAUCGAUGUCCGAAUGGGGAAACCCACCUGCAUAAGCAGGUAUCUUAGUGUGAAUACAUAGCGACUAACCUGCGAAAAGCGAUGGUGAGCUGGUAAGAAGCAUUUGAGCCAUCGAUGUCCGAAUGGGGAAACCCACCUGCAUAAGCAGGUAUCUUAGUGUGAAUACAUAGCGCUAAGAGGCGAACUCGGGGAACUGAAACAUCUAAGUACCCGAAGGAAAAGAAAUCAAUUGAGAUUCCGGCAGUAGCGGCGAGCGAACCCGGAGCAGCCCUUAAGCGGCUUAGGCGUUAGGUGAACAGGUUGGAAAACCUGGCAAUAAAGGGUGAUAGCCCCGUAACCGACGGCGCCUUAGACGUGAAAACGAGUAGGACGGGACACGUGAUAUCUUGUCUGAACAUGGGGGGACCAUCCUCCAAGGCUAAAUACUCCUGACUGACCGAUAGUGAACCAGUACCGUGAGGGAAAGGCGAAAAGAACCCCUGUGAGGGGAGUGAAAUAGAACCUGAAACCGUCUACGUACAAGCAGUGGGAGCCUCCUUUGUGGGGUGACCG